Long non-coding RNA from Meriones unguiculatus (Mongolian gerbil), 2948 nucleotides. RefSeq lists it as uncharacterized. Lineage: Eukaryota; Metazoa; Chordata; Mammalia; Rodentia; Muridae. The transcript is spliced from 2 exons. The record is from RefSeq and is a predicted model, not a curated record.
UAUCUGGAGAGGAGAAGGUGAGAUUUGGGAGGUUGAAAAUGUUAACACAUAUCGGGAAGGAAUGCUCUCACCAUAGAAUCCCUGCCAUUCUCUGUGUCUAAUGCCUCUGCUCACCGUACCCUGCUGGAAGAGCUCAGUGCCAUUCCAUGGCUAAGGCCCAGCAGUUAGAAAGCAGGUAACCCUGGAUGUAAGGCCACAGCCAUGUCACUCCACCUUCAAGAAAAGCUCUUCUGUUGUCCUCCAUGCAGAGGAGACUGAACUCCAACUCCAAGCAGUUGACAAGCACCCACCCAUUUUCUGCCUAGACUUUGCAGGAACCUGCUCUGCAGGCUGUUCUGUCUUCAGGACCUCACAAUGUCCUGCUGUUAUUCAGGAAUGCCCAGCAGGAGGUUUUGCACAAAUGUUUUUAGUUUUCUACCAAGAGCACUAGAUGAGGUCAGUCAGUGCUGGUUGCCACAAUGAAAACUAGAAGGAGUAUUUACAUAACCAGGUAAAUGAAGUCAUAGAUAAAACCAAGAAUUUUCUAACAUUUUGUAUAAUAUCUGGAACACAGUUGUAGCUCUUUAUCUCCCCAAACCCAGUAAUCAUUUGUUUCCUGAUUCAGACUAUUGUUUCUCUGACAGUUUUGACUCUCAUCAAAUGACAAAAAAUAAAAAUUAAACAAAACAAUAAAAAAAAACCCUGGACCUAUGAAAUGUCGAUGUAACAUUCAUAUCACCUAUACACAACUGUGCUUGAACAUGAAUAAUGUUAAUUAUUCAGUAAUUCUUAGCUAAUAAGAACUAUUCUUGUUCACAAUCUAAGAAUAUAAUUUGGUUGUAUAAUUUAAAAAAACAUGUAUGACUGUAUGCAUGAAAUUAUACUUAUUUUAUUGACACAUUAGAAAUGGAUAAAAAAGCUUUAUGUGCAUAUUUACUUAAUUUUCAAAAUGUCACACACACUCAUGUGUGCACAUAUUCACAAGUCUACAAACACAAAGGCCUAGAGAUAUUUGCUCUCUGUUGUCUCAGUCUACAGCAUGGUAACUUUGAGGCCAAUAUGAGAAGAUUUACUCUAAUCUGUAAAAGUUUCACUGCUGGGCAUAAGGAUGAAAAUGACUGUUGAGGAUAUUUGAUCCUAUCUGAACCCCAAAGCUGUGAGCAGUAAAGCAUUGUUUCUUGUUUGAUGUGGUUGAGCGCUAUAACAAACCUUUAAACCAAGACCUUUCUGUAUAUUGUAAACAGGUGACUACCUUGUGGUUCACCCAGUCCUAACACACACCUUUAAUCCAAGAGAUUUCUGUAUACAGGAUUUAAUAAAGUUAACCCUAUGUCAAGAGGCAGAGCAAGAAACCAACUGACAGGGAUUGAAGAGGAGGGACUUUGAGUUAAGGGGUAUUUUAGACAGCCUGGAGAAGAAGAAAUAGCUCUUUGACUUCAGCUUUUCAGCUUAGGCUUAGGCUUUAGCUCUCUGGCUUUGGGGGCCUUUUGAGCUUUGAGCUAGCAAGCCUCUGGCCUUGAGUUUUUGGCCUUUUCUUCCUGGGUUGUCAGCUGAGCCAAUGAGCCUUUUGGUUUUUCCAUCAGGACCUGAGCUGAGAAGGAAGGUCAGCUGGGUGCUUUCUCUGCUUCUCUGAGCUAGAGGGUUUCACCCCAGCAUCUGGGCCCUGAGUCUUUAUUGGUAAAAUAGAACCGUUGGCAUUUUCAUUUCUUUACAACAAUAUUUUGGUGCUCCAAUGAGUGGCAUGACCCCAAAGACAGAGAGAUCACUCCAGCUUCAGACAAACUGAGAAGCCUUCAGAUCUGGAGAAUAAAAACAUCUAACUAAGGAAUCUGGAGACUACUGGACAAAUGAAAUGUCUGAAGAAAAUGGAGAGAUUAACAAUAAAAAAAAAUCACAACAAAAGGAGUAAAUUGGCUAAGUCCAUCUUCUGUCUUCUGCCCUCUACAACUAUAAUCGGCAAAUGGUCUUUUUGAAGUCCCAAUUCAUUUAAGAUUAAAGCUGCCUUUGAAGUUGGAACAUGGCUCUCUCCUUCUCUAAACCCAGGAAUUCUUGUUAAAGAAAAACCCAAAAUCUCUGUCUGGUAUCACCCAUAGCCACGUGGUAUGGGGUAGAAGAAAACAAAAAAUAAGGGAAUAUUUUAUUGCCACUGAUCUCAUAAUCUUUUAAUUUUCAUUUGACUCUCUAAUUUUAAGGUAUAAAUAUUAUCUCAAAACGUAUAAAAUUACUAUGUAUAUAUAAACUUUCUGUCAUGAUACCAGUAGUCAUAUAGAGUAUUAACUAAUUUUAGAAAUAAGCUUCAUCUAGUUUCCUGUACAUGUUUCCAGGUUUAAGGCUGAAGCAAGUAACUAGGAAAAAUGUUUAUGUACUUCAGAUGUACUUAAUAGAUUAUGGACCUCAAGCCUUUCUGAGAUAUGCUGAAUAAGGCAUUUAAAAUGUUUAGGGUUUUUUUUUUUUUAAUCACUCCUAACAAUAACAUUUUAGGUUUCCAAGAAGAAGACAGGGAUUCUGACAAUGAAUCCACCUGGAUUGUGUAACACCAGUCACUGGAAAAACAAAAAACUUCCCCAUGUUUCUUCUGCUGCCUGGUUCUGUAUAAACAGUGGACACUUUUGAGCUGACUGCCAUGUUUAGCCGAGUCAUGAUUGCCAUUAAGCUGACAAACACCACCCAAAGAUCUGCUUCAAAUUACAGACUGCUUAAGACAUUGAAAUUGCUGAGUUCAUAUGAGACUAGCAUGAACAUUUCACAGAACUUUGAACUCAAAAAUACUUAAUCCUAAGACUGCCAAAUAUAACCUAGCAGGACAUUGUGAAAAGCUUUGCAAAAAAAAAGUUGCUUAAUUUUUGUAAAUAGUUUUGCUGUAUCUUUCCUUUAUAUUUAGGCACAAAGGUGGAUAGGACAACAUAGGAACAAUGAAAAAGAUAGAUUAUUGAAUCUACUUUAAUAAACCUUUGUAUAUUGGUACAAAA